UACGAAGGGGGCUAGCGUUGCUCGGAAUCACUUGGGCGUAAAGGGUGCGUAGGCGGGUCUUUAAGUCAGGGGUGAAAUCCUGGAGCUCAACUCCAGAACUGCCUUUGAUACUGGAGAGCUCGAGUCCGGAAGAGGUGAGUGGAACUGCGAGUGUAGAGGUGAAAUUCGUAGAUAUUCGCAAGAACACCAGUGGCGAAGGCGGCUCACUGGUCCGGUACUGACGCUGAGGCGCGAAAGCUAGGGGAGCGAACAGG
RNAcentral lists this ribosomal RNA (254 nucleotides) under uncultured bacterium. Its description in RNAcentral is "partial 16S ribosomal RNA". It matches the Rfam family "Bacterial small subunit ribosomal RNA", at positions 524 to 776 of the family's 1533-position model. The record is from RNAcentral.